AAACAUCCCCACAGAUGCUUCUUUCGUGGUCGACGGCCAAAUUUCCGUUGAUGGCCACAUGUGAGCUGACGUCAAUUGGAUCUACAUCCGGAACUCCAUCAAGUCCAACCGAAGGUACAUUUUUCCCUGGUGCUAUGUUAUUAUUUUCGUCGUGAUGGCCAAAAUCAUUGUCAACGUGUAGAGGUGUUGAAUGAGAGUUUGGCAUUUUAGUCAUGUAAUAAAAGAUACUUCGAAG
RNAcentral lists this long non-coding RNA (235 nucleotides) under Nicotiana benthamiana. RNAcentral's name for it is "long non-coding RNA (NBEN_LNC040712)". The record is from RNAcentral. Lineage: Eukaryota; Viridiplantae; Streptophyta; Magnoliopsida; Solanales; Solanaceae.